Molecule: ribosomal RNA, 565 nt
Filed under: uncultured Glomeromycotina
Lineage: Eukaryota; Fungi; Glomeromycota
Description: SSU rRNA
Rfam family: Eukaryotic small subunit ribosomal RNA
Source: RNAcentral
UUGGAGGGCAAGUCUGGUGCCAGCAGCCGCGGUGAUUCCAGCUCCAAUAGCGUAUAUUAAAGUUGUUGCAGUUAAAAAGCUCGUAGUUGAAUUUCGGGGUUAGUAGGUUGGUCAUGCCACUGGUAUGUACUGGUCUCACUGAUUCCUCCUUCCUGAUGAGCCGUAAUGCCAUUAAUUUGGUGUUGCGAGGAAUCUGGACUGUUACUUUGAAAAAAUUAGAGUGUUUAAAGCAGGCUAACGCUUGAAUACAUUAGCAUGGAAUAAUGAAAUAGGACGUUCGACCUUAUUUUGUUGGUUUCUAGGAUUGACGUAAUGAUUAAUAGGGAUAGUUGGGGGCAUUAGUAUUCAAUUGUCAGAGGUGAAAUUCUUGGAUUUAUUGAAGACUAACUACUGCGAAAGCAUUUGCCAAGGAUGUUUUCAUUAAUCAAGAACGAAAGUUAGGGGAUCGAAGACGAUCAGAUACCGUCGUAGUCUUAACCAUAAACUAUGCCGACUAGGGAUCGGAUGAUGUUAAUUUUUUAAUGACUCAUUCGGCGCCUUACGGGAAACCAAAGUGUUUGGGUUC